CUUUAAGAGUCCUGAAGGAACGUUGAAGACGACGACGUUGAUAGGCCGGGUGUGUAAGCGCAGCGAUGCGUUGAGCUAACCGGUACUAAUGAACCGUGAGGCUUAACCUU
RNAcentral lists this ribosomal RNA (110 nucleotides) under Escherichia coli. RNAcentral's name for it is "partial 23S ribosomal RNA". It matches the Rfam family "Bacterial large subunit ribosomal RNA", at positions 2818 to 2925 of the family's 2925-position model. The record is from RNAcentral. RNAcentral also lists the same sequence under 1 other name. Lineage: Bacteria; Pseudomonadati; Pseudomonadota; Gammaproteobacteria; Enterobacterales; Enterobacteriaceae.